This 1188-nucleotide long non-coding RNA is filed under the name Prunus dulcis (almond). RNAcentral describes it as "sRNA ncRNA". The record is from RNAcentral. Lineage: Eukaryota; Viridiplantae; Streptophyta; Magnoliopsida; Rosales; Rosaceae.
UUUAAAAUCUCCCUCACAAAACCCGAUCGUUCUCUCUCAAGUUUGACAUCCACUCCACCCCUUAAGCUCACAAGGUUGACCUCCACACUCUGCUUCGCUACGCUUUGGCCUAUCUUUGGUCCUUCACGCAUUGGCUUCAAUUUGAUGGUUUUCAGUUGGGCAACUGAGGAAUUGCUUCAACCUUUUCACUUUGUUGUUGUCUGAGGCUUCAAGCUCUUGGGUUUUCGUGGGUACUCAGCAGCUGACAUGGGGUGAGCUCUUCUCAAUUCUUGGUGUUUCAGCCAUGGAUGUUCUGGUAAUGCUUUGCUUUCCAUUUUUUUUUUUUUUUUGUGUUUUUUGUUUUUGUUUUGUUUUGUUUUGUUUUUUUUGUAGUUGGUGUUUUCUUUUUACUAAAAAAAAUUAUGGCUAAAAUUAGGCUAAUAAAAAUAUGGCUUAAUUACAUUUGUGCAGUCUUCUAACAGUUUUAUUUAACAAAAGGUCUUUGGAAUGUUUACUUAUCAGGAAUGAGUAUUGGAAUGAAUCCAAUAUAUGCUUCUCCUCUGUUUACUAACAUAUGGGUAUUGGAAUGAUUCCAAUCUGAUUUUCCGCCUUUACUGACAAGUAAGGAAUAAAAUAUUAUGCGAAUUCUACCGUAAAAUCCGUAAUUAAAUACCCUCAAAAUCGGGAAUGGUAUCAACUAGGGGGAGUAGUUGAUCCGGUUCCAAUACCUUGAUUCUCUUAUCUAAAUUCCCUGAUUCAUGGCUUCCUCCAUUUCCGGUAAGUAAACAUGUACAAUAGUAAUAAGAUUAUAGUCAGGAUUUAGCACACUUUAGUAACCUUUCAUGUUACCAACAAAUGGUAGUUCUUUCAAUUGAUUUGACAAAGAAUUGAUUUUGAGCUCCAUUGCAAUGUUGCUGAACUAGACAGAUAUAACUGAUAAUAUUAAAACUAGAAAAACCUAAUAUAAAAUAGUUAUGGUGCUUGAUUGUGAAUCUAAUUCUAAGCCAUAUGUUCUCUUUACAAGUAUUUCUUUAUUGUUUACCUAAAAACUAUUUUUCACUUUUUGUUGAAGUAGUAAAAAGCAAAGAUGCACACCAAUUUAUAUAUUAAAACUUUGUGCAUCUUAAGCAAAGGACAUUACCCUAGUUGUUAAAACUCACGUCACUGUCGAUACUUGUGAGGAUGAAAUGAGAAAAACCUCACCCUGCA